This 74-nucleotide transfer RNA is filed under the name Rubripirellula lacrimiformis. It matches the Rfam family "tRNA". From Rfam's summary of the family: Transfer RNA (tRNA) molecules are approximately 80 nucleotides in length. Their secondary structure includes four short double-helical elements and three loops (D, anti-codon, and T loops). RNAcentral also lists the same sequence under 2 other names. Lineage: Bacteria; Pseudomonadati; Planctomycetota; Planctomycetia; Pirellulales; Pirellulaceae. The record is from Rfam by way of RNAcentral.
CGGGGCGUGGCGCAGCCUGGUAGCGCGACUGGUUUGGGACCAGUAGGUCGCAGGUUCGAAUCCUGUCGCCCCGA